AACGAACGCUGGCGGCAUGCCUAACACAUGCAAGUCGAACGAGACCUUCGGGUCUAGUGGCGCACGGGUGCGUAACGCGUGGGAACCUGCCCUUAGGUUCGGCAUAACUCCCCGAAAGGGGUGCUAAUACCGGAUAAUGUCUUCGGACCAAAGAUUUAUCGCCGUUGGAUGGGCCCGCGUUGGAUUAGCUAGUUGGUAGGGUAAAAGCCUACCAAGGCGACGAUCCAUAGCUGGUCUGAGAGGAUGAUCAGCCACACUGGGACUGAGAACCGGCCCAGAAUCCUACGGGAGGCAGCAGUGGGGAAUAUUGGACAAUGGGCGAAAGGCUGAUGCAGCAAUGCCGCGUGAGUGAUGAAGGCCUGAGGGAUGUAAAGCGCUUUUACCCGGGAUGAUAAUGACAGUACCGGGAGAAUAAGCUCCGGCUAACUCCGUG
RNAcentral lists this ribosomal RNA (433 nucleotides) under uncultured bacterium. RNAcentral describes it as "partial 16S ribosomal RNA". It matches the Rfam family "Bacterial small subunit ribosomal RNA", at positions 29 to 507 of the family's 1533-position model. The record is from RNAcentral.